RNAcentral lists this ribosomal RNA (253 nucleotides) under uncultured bacterium. RNAcentral describes it as "partial 16S ribosomal RNA". It matches the Rfam family "Bacterial small subunit ribosomal RNA", at positions 524 to 776 of the family's 1533-position model. The record is from RNAcentral.
UACGGGGGGGGCAAGCGUUGUUCGGAAUUACUGGGCGUAAAGGGCUCGUAGGCGGCCAACUAAGUCGGAUGUGAAAUCCCCAGGCUCAACCUGGGAACUGCAUCCGAUACUGGAUGGCUUGAAUUCGGGAGAGGGAUGCAGAAUUCCAGGUGUAGCGGUGAAAUUCGUAGAUAUUCGGAAGAACACCAGUGGCGAAGGCGACUUACUGGACACAUAUUGACGCUGAGGUGCGAAAGCGUGGGGAGCGAACAGG